This 401-nucleotide ribosomal RNA is filed under the name uncultured Clostridium sp. Its description in RNAcentral is "bacterial SSU rRNA". It matches the Rfam family "Bacterial small subunit ribosomal RNA", at positions 976 to 1380 of the family's 1533-position model. The record is from RNAcentral. Lineage: Bacteria; Bacillati; Bacillota; Clostridia; Eubacteriales; Clostridiaceae. RNAcentral also lists the same sequence under 1 other name.
UGGACUUGACAUCCCCUGAAUAACCUAGAGAUAGGCGAAGCCCUUCGGGGCAGGGAGACAGGUGGUGCAUGGUUGUCGUCAGCUCGUGUCGUGAGAUGUUAGGUUAAGUCCUGCAACGAGCGCAACCCCUUUUAUUAGUUGCUACCAUUAAGUUGAGCACUCUAAUGAGACUGCCCGGGUAACCGGGAGGAAGGUGGGGAUGACGUCAAAUCAUCAUGCCCCUUAUGUCCAGGGCUACACACGUGCUACAAUGGUAGGUACAAAAAGAUGCAAUAUCGUGAGGUGGAGCAAAACUUUUAAAACCUAUCUCAGUUCGGAUUGUAGGCUGCAACUCGCCUACAUGAAGCUGGAGUUGCUAGUAAUCGCAAAUCAGAAUGUUGCGGUGAAUACGUUCCCGGGCC